ACCCGCUUGAACUUAAGCAUAUCAAUAAGCGGAGGAAAAGAAACUAACGAGGAUUCCCCUAGUAACUGCGAGUGAAGCGGGAAAAGCUCAAAUUUGAAAUCUGGCGGUUCUUUGACUGUCCGAGUUGUAAUCUAGAGAAGUGUUACCAGUGCUGGACCGUGUACAAGUCUUCUGGAAUGGAGCAUCACAGAGGGUGAGAAUCCCGUCUUUGACAUGGACUGCCAGUGCCACUUGAUGGUGCGCUCUCAAAGAGUCGAGUUGUUUGGGAAUGCAGCUCAAAAUGGGUGGUAAAUGCCAUCUAAAGCUAAAUAUUGGCGAGAGACCGAUAGCGAACAAGUACCGUGAGGGAAAGAUGAAAAGAACUUUGGAAAGAGAGUUAAACAGUACGUGAAAUUGCUGAAAGGGAAACGCUUGAAGUCAGUCGCGUCUGCUAGAAAUCAGCCAUUUGCUCUUGCUUGGUGUACUUUCUGGUUGGACGGGUCAGCAUCAAUUUUGACCGCUGGAUAAAGUCUUUUUGGGAAUGUGGCAUCCCUUUGGAUGUGUUAUAGCCCAUGGUCGCAUACAGCGGUUGGGAUUGAGGAACUCAGCACGCCGCAAGGCUCGGGUCAUUUUUUUGAC
Molecule: ribosomal RNA, 618 nt
Filed under: Inocybe olympiana
Lineage: Eukaryota; Fungi; Basidiomycota; Agaricomycetes; Agaricales; Inocybaceae
Description: eukaryotic LSU rRNA
Rfam family: Eukaryotic large subunit ribosomal RNA
Source: RNAcentral